Vidua chalybeata is the source of this 363-nucleotide long non-coding RNA. RefSeq lists it as uncharacterized. The transcript has 3 exons. The record is from RefSeq and is a predicted model, not a curated record. NCBI's taxonomy places the organism in Eukaryota, Metazoa, Chordata, Aves, Passeriformes, Viduidae.
AUCAAACAGGAGCACACAGUUGGUAGAAAGGACAAAGAAAGAGAAGACUGUUUUAAUUACUUACAUUAUAUAAAUGUGGGAAAAUGCUGGACAAGAGGAAACAUUUUCUGAGUCAUAGAACAUGUGAAUGGACCCAGAAGAAUUCAGAAUAACAAUGAAGAAAGUUGCCUAAGUCUGGCCCACUUAGAGUGCCAGCUGCCUAACAACCGAGAAAAAGAAGAGCAAAAGGAUUUUCAGCGCUUUGGCUUCAGAUGUUUUUCAUCUGAAAGAAUACUAUUUAAUCUGGUGGAACAGCAUGAUGGAACAGCAGCUGCUGUAACUGCAGACAAGAAGCAAAUGUGCAAAGAUAUAUUCAUAUUUCUA